RNAcentral lists this long non-coding RNA (402 nucleotides) under Bos taurus (domestic cattle). RNAcentral's name for it is "long non-coding RNA NONBTAT006671". The record is from RNAcentral. Lineage: Eukaryota; Metazoa; Chordata; Mammalia; Artiodactyla; Bovidae.
UUGUCAAUUUAUGGCCUGAACAAAAUUGUUUUGUCUUUAUAAGAAACAUUUGAAAAUUAUAGAUGCCUUUUAAGGAAAUAAAAUAUAUGAAACAAUUUACUUUGCUUACUUAUCCAAAGAUUCCUUUAAGACUUUGAAUCUGGAAAUUUAAAUGAAACUUACUUUAUCCUGAAGUCAACAGCCCCAUUUUACUCAGGCUGUGCUUGGUUUACUCUGCUCUUUCUAAUUCUCCAACCUUCUUAGAGUCAUAACUCAACUUAUUUUGGAAGCAAACUUAACUCUGCCUCAUUCAUCUCAGGAUAUGGGCUUGUCCCUUCUGGUCAUUUCUUUUUUAAUUAGUAUUUGAACAUAAUUUAAUUUAUUGGAACUAAUGAUCAAGAGGUUAAGUAGUGUAAGUAAAGA